UAAUUCGAAGCAACGCGAAGAACCUUACCAGCUCUUGACAUGUCUCGUAUGGGGACCGGAGACGGUUUCCUUCAGUUCGGCUGGCGAGAACACAGGUGCUGCAUGGCUGUCGUCAGCUCGUGUCGUGAGAUGUUGGGUUAAGUCCCGCAACGAGCGCAACCCUCGCCCUUAGUUGCCAUCAUUCAGUUGGGCACUCUAGGGGGACUGCCGGUGAUAAGCCGAGAGGAAGGUGGGGAUGACGUCAAGUCCUCAUGGCCCUUACGGGCUGGGCUACACACGUGCUACAAUGGCGGUGACAAUGGGAUGCUGAGGGGCGACCCCGAGCAAAUCUCAAAAAGCCGUCUCAGUUCGGAUUGCACUCUGCAACUCGAGUGCAUGAAGUUGGAAUCGCUAGUAAUCGUAGAUCAGAACGCUACGGUGAAUACGUUCCCGGGCCUUGUACACACCGCC
This 450-nucleotide ribosomal RNA is filed under the name uncultured Alphaproteobacteria bacterium. RNAcentral describes it as "bacterial SSU rRNA". It matches the Rfam family "Bacterial small subunit ribosomal RNA", at positions 947 to 1394 of the family's 1533-position model. Lineage: Bacteria; Pseudomonadati; Pseudomonadota; Alphaproteobacteria. The record is from RNAcentral.